This is a non-coding RNA of Rattus norvegicus (Norway rat), 2529 nucleotides long. Lineage: Eukaryota; Metazoa; Chordata; Mammalia; Rodentia; Muridae. The record is from RefSeq and is a predicted model, not a curated record.
GCUUUACAGCUGCUACUCAAAAAAGGUCUGUGGGAUGUGUUUGAUCCCGUUUCUGCUGCGGGAACGUGAGUACUAUUAACGUGCGGAGACCCCGCCAAGCCUUAGAAGACAGCAAAAAUCAGAAUCAUAAGUCAUACUCGGGUCCCCAGGACUGCCCCAAGCAUCCGCCUGCCAGCUCCCUGACACAGGACACAUAACACAGACCCCAAAGCGAGAGAAACAAGAGCCUUGAAGCAUCUUCAGAAUGAUGCUUUGGCCGCCUCUUUUCUCCCCCCUGUCCUGGUCUCUUUCAGCUUCAGACACCUCAAAAGGAGCGUCUUCCUCGCUCAACUUCCCUGGCACGAAACAAGCCGUCCCUUCUCAUACGUCGUGUGUCCAGUCUCCAUUUUAACAUCAAGUCAGGGAAGAAAACAGAAGACAUUUCUAGCGGAAUGCCACUCCAGCGGCUCUUCAUCUCAAAAGCAGCCUGUUUAGAGACUUCCAGCAGGCUCACCGCCUUUCUUUCCCUUUCUUCCUCCCCUGAUUUCUUGUGUGAGCACAGCUGUUGCUUAGCAAUCCAAAAGGAGCCCUUUCCUGAGUCCUGCUGACACGCCUCAACGUGCCCCCGACCCUGCGACACCAGCUCAAUGUGGUCACUCCGAAACCAACGGUGCUAAGAAACUUCGAGGUGAUUUUGAACUUGGAGGAUCUGCGGGGUAUUCGCCUCUUCGCCCCGCGCCACACCACCCAGCUGAGCAUCGUCUUCAGGCUACCCUGCGGGGGCGCAGGAUGCUCACAGGCUUUCAUGGGGAAUGGAAGAGUUCGAAACAACGUCAGAAGAGAGGCCAUACGCUGCUUGAUCUUCCUGUAGUGAAACCUCUGACAGCCCUCACACAGAGCCGUGCCAACCAAGAGAUGCCUUCGUGGAUGCCCAGGCCCCACCGCCUGCGGGGUCCCCCACCCACCCAGGAGCUGUCAGCGUGUUUGAAGCUGCCUCCACACAUAAAUUCAUGGACCAGCUGUCUCUUUUAGUCUGCUCGCAAGAUGAAACCAUUAAUAGAUGUCAGACGCAUUGGCAAUGAUCUCUUCAUUAAUAAUUUCCUCCUUUCUGAGGGGAAAAAAAAUUAGUAACAAGGAACCAUCAAUAAUUCAGAAAUACAAGUUAACCUUUCUAUUAGCAGAGUCGCCGUGCACACAGUACAUACCCAGAGCCAGGAGUUCUGGAUCGAGUCGUGUUUUGAUGGUAGGGAUAUUAAUAUGCAUUGAUGCUGUCUGUCAAGACAGAAUAUAAAUAACCCAACCGUAGCUUAGAACUCACGGCUGUGCUUCAAGUGCGACCUUCUGACCCAGCCACUUGGUUCUGGAGAGGCAGGAAUCAGCCAAUCAUCUUGCUGUCUAAGAGAAAGGCCUCUAUGAAGAAAUCCAUUUUUAGCUGGAGGUCCCUGUGACGAGAAAGAUUUCCCCUAUGCCCAACCAGCCCUGCUGCAGGAUGAUCCCCUCCUGCCUGCCUAGGGUUCUUCCUCCUGUGAACAGGCAGCCUGGACUUAAAACACUCAGACUUCUUUGAGAGGUUGGAUAGGUUCCAGGUAAGCACUCCAAUUCCAUACACCCCAGGCCUGCCCUGCCUGGCUCCUUGGUGCAUUUGAAUGACACCCUCCCCAGGAGGUCUCAGCACCUGCCCUUCCUCACCCUCCAUUCACUAUCCCAGCCACCACAAGCCAGGUACUUUCCCUCUCCAAAUCUGUUUCCCCAUCUGUGAAAUUGAAGUGAUUAUCCCCACCUCACUGAGCUGAUGUGAGAGUUAAGAAGGUAAUGAAUGUGAACACACCUAGCACAGGGUCUGGUCCACUCAAGAGAUCGGUCUCUUCCUUCUCUAGAGUCCGAGAUUCACUCUCCUACCCAAACUUGACUCCUAGGCCAACUCUCCCAGACACCUGGAUGGCAGCGUAGCACGAAGAGCCAGCUGCCUUCUCCUCGAGCCAAAGCAUGGGUACGCGGUCCAGACCAUUGGCGAGAAGACCUGGGCAUCCUGAAUUUACAGCUCGGACUGCAUCUCUGCAUCUCGCCCAAGGGGAGUCUAUGAAGCAGCUGCUUCUCUUAAUUAAAAAGGAAACAGAAGGGUGAGCCACCGAGGCUUGGCACUCAUUCCCCUGGACACUGCUGGACAAUGGGGGAUGUCCCCACCAACAGGGGACCUCAGCCUCAGCUCAGGCUGGGAGACCACACAGCACACUGGGGACAGGGUCAUGUCUGGGUCUUGCUUCCAACCAUGUGGCUUUCCUGAUAAAAUUAGGGAGAAAAAGCCACAGUUCACGUGGCAGCCUGGUGUGCCCCAGAGUUGGAUAUGCAAGUAUUUAUUGAUUGACUGUGGUGGGGGGGUUGUUUGUUUGUUUUUGUUUUUUGUCUUGUUUUGUUUUUUGUUUUGUUUUGUUUUGUUUGAGAUAGCCCUGGCUAUCCUGGAACUCACUCUGUAGACCAGGAUGGCCUUGAACUCAGAGAUCUGUCUGCCUCUGCCGCCUGAGUACUGGGAUUAAAGGUACACUCCACCAA